This 39-nucleotide ribosomal RNA is filed under the name Trichophyton rubrum. RNAcentral describes it as "partial 18S ribosomal RNA". RNAcentral also lists the same sequence under 1 other name. Lineage: Eukaryota; Fungi; Ascomycota; Eurotiomycetes; Onygenales; Arthrodermataceae. The record is from RNAcentral.
AAUGAUCCUUCCGUAGGUGAACCUGCGGAAGGAUCAUUA